GACGAACGCUGGCGGCGUGCUUAACACAUGCAAGUCGAACGGAAAGGCCCUGCUUUUGUGGGGUGCUCGAGUGGCGAACGGGUGAGUAACACGUGAGUAACCUGCCCUUGACUUUGGGAUAACUUCAGGAAACUGGGGCUAAUACCGGAUAGGAGCUCCUGCUGCAUGGUGGGGGUUGGAAAGUUUCGGCGGUUGGGGAGGGACUCGCGGCUUAUCAGCUUGUUGGUGGGGUAGUGGCUUACCAAGGCUUUGACGGGUAGCCGGCCUGAGAGGGUGACCGGCCACAUUGGGACUGAGAUACAGCCCGGACUCCUACGGGAGGCAGCAGUGGGGAAUAUUGCACAAUGGGCGGAAGCCUGAUGCAGCAACGCCGCGUGCGGGAUGACGGCCUUCGGGUUGUAAACCGCCUUCGCCUGUGACGAAGCGUGAGUGACGGUAAUGGGUAAAGAAGCACCGGCUAACUACGUG
Molecule: ribosomal RNA, 468 nt
Filed under: uncultured bacterium
Lineage: Bacteria
Description: partial 16S ribosomal RNA
Rfam family: Bacterial small subunit ribosomal RNA
Source: RNAcentral